UCUGCUUCUAUCUUAUAUAUUUUUUUAGGUGGAGUCUCACGCUGUCAUUCAGGCUGGAGGGCAGUGGUGCAAUCUCAGCUCACUGUAACUCUGCCUCCCAGGUUCAAACUAUUCUCCUGCUUCAACCUCCCAAGUAGUUGGGAUUACAGGCAUGCACCACCACACUUGGCUAAUCUUUGUCUUUUUAGUAGAGACCAGAUUUCACUAUGUUGGCCAGGCUGGUCUUGAACUCCUGACCUCAAGUGACCACCUGCCUCGACCCCCAAAGUGCUGAGAUUACAGAGGUGAGCCACCGUGUCCAGCAUCUCUGCUUCUAAUACUCAGCUUUUCUCCUCCAUUGAUGAACAUCGCUUCCCAAGAAGAGAUCAGUGGAAAUUUCCUAUAGCCACUGUGUUUAUGAGUGGUGCAUGCAUGUGAUUGGACACACAUUGGCCCACUUUUUCUCUCUUUCUUUUAUCUUUCCUCUCAUUUUUCUUUUACUCAUACCCAUCCCAUCUCUUCAUCCAAGCAGAGGCCUUGCAACAACCUGUGAGAUGUGUGCUGACUGCCCACAUUUGCCAGAUGAGAAGCUGAGGAUUGGAGAUGUCCAGGAACCUGUCCAGCAUGUUUGCUUGAAUUGGGAUCCAAAUGAGGUUGGUUGAUAUGUCUAAGUGUUUUUCAAUCUGUAAUCCCUAUUUCUCACUUUUAAAAGUUUUCCUUGUCGAAGAAACCAGAUGCCCGACCUGUGUUUUCCCAUGGUGUGGACUUUACUGAUUGCAUCCCCAUGGUGGCUUCAUUCCUCCAUCUUCUGUAUUUCUUAUAAGUUGACAAUUAGUUUUUGAGACUUGAUCAGAUUCGGGUUUGGCAUUUUCAGUCAUACAGCCUCACAGUGCUACGUGUCUCCGUCAGGAGGCACAUAAUGCCUGCUGUCUCCAGCUUGGGGAUGUCAGCAAGUGUGGAUGCUCACAACUUAGAUCCAUUAAUCCAUUAGGGGUUGCAAAAUGGUGAGGUUCCAAUUCCAUCAUCCCUUCCUCAUUUGUUAGCUGGAAUACUUCUAACAGGAGAAAUAUCCCCUCAUCUGCAAUUUCGGCACCCAGUAGUACAGUUUCUUUAGGAAAGAUGGGACAAGUGCUUGAUUCUUUCUCUUUAUUUACCAACUAAUUGCCUUUUAAUGGCAUGAUACUAACAGUUAAUACUUGUAGAGCAUUUACAGAUCACAGAACAUCCUUAUCAACACUAUCUCAUUUAAUUAUCACAACAAUCCUGUGAGGUAGACACAACAGAUGGUGUUAUUUUUAAGUCUUUUUUUUUUUUUUCAGAAGAGAGAACUGAGGUCUAGAGAAGGUAAGCAACUUGCUCAAGCUCAGAAAGCUAUCAGAACAAUCGUUGCUAACUCACAGGAAGCCUUAAUUCUGAGCCAGAUCCUGUUCUCUAAAUGUGAAUUAACUCACUUACUUCUCAAACAACUGUAAGAGACAGGCAGGGACAGCUUCUGUCCACAUUUUACAGGUAAUAGAGCCUCAAAUUGCUUGAGGUCACAUAAUAAUGAUAAUAAUAAUAAUAGAGAUUAAUCUUUAUUGAGCACUUACUGCAUGCCAAAUGCCUUACUAGGGGCUUAAACAUAAUAUAGUACUCUGCUCUCUGGUGUGUGCUGGGUUCUUGCCGCAUGUCAGGCAUAUUGUCUCUUCAUAACAACCUCAUAUUAACCCCGUGUUACAGAUGACAAAACUGAUGGUCAGAAUGGUUGGGUCAUAGUCCUAGGGUCACAGAGCAUGUAUAGAAAGGUGUUGGAUUCCAAGCCAGUUCUCUUCUGCAUUACACAUCUUCAGCCCAUGGGCCAGGACUUGAGCCUACACCUUCUGACCUGUGCCUGUGCCCCCUCUUGUUCCCCUCCCCAGCAUCCCCAGAGUGUCUGAUCUAGAGGAGGAAACUUUUCCUUUGAUCGAUCAGCUGCCUCCAGGCUUGUUCACCCUCCUGUAACCAACCCCUGCUGUGCUUGGCCUUAAUUGACAAGGGAAGACCUCGGUGACAAAAAAAAGGGAAGAAACCUUAUUUUGUGGCAAAAUAAUUAGUGGUUUUAGUGACUCCACACAUCCCCAGAUGUAGCUGGGUCAGCCUUUAAUUGUUGUUCUCCACCAUUUUUCUCCCAGAAUCGGAUUAUUAAGCCCAUUCAGCAGCACAACAUAUUGAAAGGACUGGGGACC
Molecule: long non-coding RNA, 2183 nt
Filed under: Callithrix jacchus (white-tufted-ear marmoset)
Lineage: Eukaryota; Metazoa; Chordata; Mammalia; Primates; Cebidae
Description: lncRNA (ENSCJAG00000059845.2)
Source: RNAcentral